GUGUGUAUGCUAUGUGUGUUUGGGUGUCUGAUCUCAGAAGCUAAGCAGGAUUGGGCCUGGUUAGCACUUGGGUGGGAGACCACAUGGGCAUACCUGGUGCAGUAGGCU
Molecule: non-coding RNA, 108 nt
Organism: Cricetulus griseus (Chinese hamster)
Lineage: Eukaryota; Metazoa; Chordata; Mammalia; Rodentia; Cricetidae
Source: Rfam